This 373-nucleotide ribosomal RNA is filed under the name uncultured bacterium. RNAcentral's name for it is "bacterial SSU rRNA". It matches the Rfam family "Bacterial small subunit ribosomal RNA", at positions 525 to 896 of the family's 1533-position model. The record is from RNAcentral.
ACGAGGGGGGCAAGCGUUGUUCGGAAUUAUUGGGCGUAAAGGGUGCGUAGGCGGUUUGACAAGUCAUCUGUGAAAUCUAUGGGCUCAACCCAUAGUCUGCAGGCGAAACUGUCGGGCUUGAGUAUUGGAGAGGUGAGUGGAAUUUCCGGUGUAGCGGUGAAAUGCGUAGAUAUCGGAAGGAACACCUGUGGCGAAAGCGGCUCACUGGACAAUAACUGACGCUGAGGCACGAAAGCUAGGGGAGCAAACAGGAUUAGAUACCCUGGUAGUCCUAGCCCUAAACGAUGAUUGCUUGGUGUGGCAGGUACCCAAUCCUGCCGUGCCGAAGCUAACGCGAUAAGCAAUCCGCCUGGGGAGUACGGUCGCAAGGCUG